Molecule: ribosomal RNA, 328 nt
Filed under: uncultured bacterium
Lineage: Bacteria
Description: bacterial SSU rRNA
Rfam family: Bacterial small subunit ribosomal RNA
Source: RNAcentral
AGGGUUUGAUUAUGGCUCAGGAUGAACGCUGGCGGCGUGCUUAACACAUGCAAGUCGAACGGGAUCCAUCAGGCUUUGCUUGGUGGUGAGAGUGGCGAACGGGUGAGUAAUGCGUGACCGACCUGCCCCAUACACCGGAAUAGCUCCUGGAAACGGGUGGUAAUGCCGGAUGCUCCAGUUGAUCGCAUGGUCUUCUGGGAAAGCUUUCGCGGUAUGGGAUGGGGUCGCGUCCUAUCAGCUUGACGGCGGGGUAACGGCCCACCGUGGCUUCGACGGGUAGCCGGCCUGAGAGGGCGACCGGCCACAUUGGGACUGAGAUACGGCCCAG